UACGGUGGAUUAAAUAGUGAAUGGGUUUCCUGGAAGUGCUCUCAGGUCUCACUCACCUCUCUAUCCCUCACGCUCUCAUCCUCCCCGAGCUACCCUCACGUACCCAACUACACACACCCACACCCCGACGACGGCGCGCCAUCACCAUCGGGUUCGUGGUCUCUCUCCCUCACUCCUCCUCGUCUCUGCAAGCUCCGAGACACCCAGAACCCACCCAAAGACCCCGGCGCACCCGUGACCUUCAAACCCAGAAUCCGGUCACCUCCGAUCCUUUUCACGGCGAACUAAAGAAUCCGGCGAACCAGACGGCUGCAGCCGAGGACAACCGAGGAAGGAGGAAUAUUCCGUUAAAGUUAA
Molecule: long non-coding RNA, 357 nt
Organism: Pyrus x bretschneideri (Chinese white pear)
Lineage: Eukaryota; Viridiplantae; Streptophyta; Magnoliopsida; Rosales; Rosaceae
Exons: 2
Source: RefSeq, a predicted model, not a curated record